GAGACAGAGAGAGACAGACAGAGAGAGAGAGAGAGAGAGAGAGAGAGAGAGAGAGAGAGAGAGAGAGAGAGAGAGAGAGAGAGAGAGAGAGAGAGAGAAAGGAGCGCACACUAUGCGGUGGAAUAUUUUUGGAUUCCCUCUCCCCUGUCUUAACCGUCAGUGUUUACAUGAAGAGGAUUUUGGUAAGCUAUUAUGAGAGAGGGAAAGAUAGAUGUGACUGUGACUGGCUGUAAUUCACAGGUACAGGCGUUUGGCUGAAGAUCUUGGAAGAGACUAUUGCGCACUUUGCGUGAAAGAGUCAGCUCUUGGAAAUGGUUGCGGGAGGGGCACACAUUGUCUAUUCUGAAAUGGUUAAAACAAUUCGAGGCCAGUCUCAAAUGACGACUUCUGACUGAAGCAUAAAGUUGUGGGAGCUGCACAUAUAGGCCAACUGCACAUGAAACAAGUGAAUCCGACAAGUCAUGAAGUUAUGCAGAUAACACCGCAUCUGAGAAAGAACUUGUUACCCAUCACCCCCGACUCAACCCAAUACAGCUUUGAAAAAGCACAGCCUGUGAGGCAGUUUGAGGACUUCCCUUUGGACAACAGCCCUGAGACCAAUAUAAAUCUGACAAUAACUGACUAAUUAACACAAUAGAUAACAAUACAGUUUCUUCCGGAGUUUUACUGACUUUGUGAGUACUAAAUCCAACCAACUUCUCCUCUGCAGUAGCAUAGAGCCAGCAAGCUCCCUUCCCUUCCCAGCUAUGGCUCCCCCUAGCCGUGCUUCCAUAUUUCCUUGUUUAUGCACAGCAUAAUGGCCUGACCCUCCCUUCUCUAUAACAUUAUACAGACACCACCUAGCACCUGAAAACCUAAAUUUUUCUGGAUAUAUUUUGAGAUUAGUCUCUAUAUACCCCAUAUUCAUCCAAUGGCACCCUAACCAUAGUGGAACAGAGCUUUUCUUACCUUUACAAAGUGCCUCUCUCUAUACCUCUCUCUCUCCAAAGUCCCAACCUCGAUAGCCUCCUUCUUCUUCCCAGAAAUCCCUGCAAAAGGGGCACUUCCAUGUAAGUUGAAUGUGUAGGGGUGCUCAUUUUGGACUCAACCAUUACUGUAAAAUACAGAAGGCCCCAGAUGCUCAGUAAGGGCCUAUUUGGGUACAUAGUCCCACAGGCGCCAACAUGUCCCUUUCAAACGGUAUGACACUGGCCCUAUAGUAAAUAACCCUCCCCUAACUCCCUCUGUCCUCCCCCCCAAUGGCUUUCACAUCAUAUGGCCCAUCCACCAGUCAUACAGCCAAUGCUGAGAAGCAAUUGUAACAUGCUGCACAAAUGAGCUCUCAGAGAGUUUCCACUGGGUUUUUGUGGAUUCACCAAGCCUUGGGGCCUCUUAGAGCUGCCCAAAAUCAUUGCUAGAGGAUAUUUUGGACACACAGAGACCCCUUUUUAUUGAGACAGACCAUUUGAAUGCAGAGGAAAAUAUUCUGGUGUGAAUAUGAUGCAAUCAAGGAAAAAGAGAGCACUGUCUCCAAGUGUCCCUCUCCAAAAGUGCAGAGAUGUAUCCACUGGGACAAGGAGCUUUCCACUCACACAAUGAGAAGGGGUGGCGGAUGACAAAUGCCAAUUUUGGGGUCCGCGCUUUGAAAGCCCAACAGGUAAGCUCACUAAUUGACAGGACACAUUGCAGUGCAUAAGGUAAGGACUUCAUUCUUGUUCAAAACUAUAUGUAUAUACUUAAAUAAAAUAUAUUUUAAAAAUAUUUUAAGAUGUAAUAUAUCAUCUCAAACUGAAAUUAUACAUAUUUACCAUAUAUUCUACAAUAUACACCUACCACUUUAUUAUAAUAUUUUUUUCAGCACUAGCCUAUACUAGCUUACAGUUGAGAGCAUGGUCCUGAAACAAGAUAACAUGCUAAUGUUUUUAAAAUAAACUUAUCAGAAAAUGAACAAAGCAUAGCCUAGCAGUUUAAGACUUGACUGAACCCAAUUUGAUAUAGCCUACCUGAAUAAGCAGCUAUAUAUCAGGAUCUGACAGUAGGCAUCAUCAAGACAUGAAAUGAGUAUGCUUUAAAAAUUGCCAAGGUAGAAGUGGUGUGAAAAACAAAUGCCAGUACUUGGUUUCCUGCGAGUCCAGACUUGAGAUGAUCUUUGUCCUAAAACAAUAAUCCCCCAAACCAGUCGUCAACUGCCCAAAGCAACAGCAGAUCAAUCCAAACCUUCAGUAUCAAAAUAGAGCGUUAAAACGUAGUCUUCAUUUUAAAACUUUGAAUAACAAACGCCUAAACACCUACCCAGAACGAAUAUCGGCACUACAGCACAGAUAUGCUAUUUAAAAUGAAUCAUGUAUUCGUAAACAAUGUUAGAUUAUAUUUAAUCGAAUUAUAAUGAGACACUAGGUACAUUCAGAAUAUGGAGACAGGCUUCAGCGCAGGAUUGGAGAUGUCAGCUGCUGGCGCGCGCCUGUCGCUUUUGUUCACGAGAACAGUCGCAGCUGUCUGACUAGAAUAGAGCACAUUUGUGAGCGGAAUAAGAACAAAUAACAGAAAUGAACUGGUAAUUUAUCUGAACAGUAGCCAAUAGCCAUGGUGGUAGUAAGCUUCAUAUUUUAGUUGUCUGUCGGCGGUUUGAAUGCGUAAAUAUUUACAUGUAGGCCUACACAAACCUGGACGUUGCGAAAGAUGGACGCCCUUGUUGAUGGGGGUUUGUUUGCAGACAGGCAGACCAUUGCAUGGGCUACAAGGGAAAAGCUAACCUAAAUGCCGGUGCAUACUAUUCGACAAAUUAGGCAUCUUAUAAGAGCAUAUGAUUUGAGCAUUUUACAUUUUAAACCAUUCCUUCUAGCUACCUAAAGUUGAAUUAUACAUAAGGGAUUAAUGCAAGGCUAAAUGUCGCCUUUCACUACAAGUCGUAACACAUAUCAAUAAAAUCCAUCAAUAUCUGCAGUGUAACAGUAUCGCAUUCCCAUUAUGAUAUGAGGCAGUGCAGAGCAGGCUAUGUGGCUACGCUAUGUUCUGCGUGCGUAAAACACGCGCCAACGUCACAACGCUUCUACAUAGGAACAGAGCAUAUGGAUGAAAUACAGUAAUACAGUAAUGAAUGGCUUGGGGGUGGUCAGGAGGUGGGCUUGGCUCCUGUUCAUUAGUUGGAGAAUUUUGCAUUUUUCAAACACAUUAAACAUAUUUGUCUUGCUAUCUACAGCCAUAAUCACUACGCUAAAUUCUAUGUUAAACACUUUUGUUUUUCUGCAUAUCUAAGCAUACCUUUUGAGCUGUCUGUAUACUCCUGGUUAUUCUUUAAAAAAACGAAAUAUGCUUCUCUGCAUCUCUGCUAAAAUAUGGGUAAAAUAUUGAAAGGAAUGUGAGUCUUAUUCAGUACAUUUAGUUAUUGCUUGCUUUUCUAAAGUCUACCAAUCUUGCCAGCAGGCAUGCCAGCGAAGAUGAUAGUUAGACAAGCUAGCUACUCUAACUUGAUUGAUUGCCUCAACCUAUCUGGGAUAGCUAAAGCCAACAUCAAAUUGCUAGGUGGCUAGUAGUUUUGAAUUUAAUUGUUUUAUUAAAUUCAGAUUGUGUGUCACUUAUCUACACAGAAUACCCCAUAAUGUCAAAGUGGAAUUGUGUUUUUAGAAAUGUUAACAAAUUAAUUGAAAAAAUAAACUUGAGUCAAAGUAUGCAAUCUUUUUGUAAUGGCAAGCCUAAAUAAGUUGAGAGGUAAAAAUGUGCUUAACAAGUCACAUAAUAAGUUGCCUGGACUCGCUCUGUAUACAAUGAUACUGUAUAACAUGACUACCCAAUCUCUGUACCUCACACAUACAAUUAUCUGUAAGGUCCCUAAGUCGAGCAGUGAAUUUCAAGCACAGCUUCAACUACAAAGACAAGGGGGGUUUUCUAUGUUUUGCAAAGAAGGGCACAUAUUGGAAGAAGGGUAAAAAACUCAAAUUUAAAAAAGCAGACAUUGAGCAUUGUGCAGUUAUUAAUUGUACACAUUAGAUGGUGUAUCAAUACACCCAGUCACUACAAAGAUACAGGCAUCCUUCUUAAAUCAGUUGCCGGAGAGGAAGGACACCACUCUUGGAUUUCACCAUGAGGCCAAUGGUGACUUAAAAACAGUAACAGAGUUUAAUGGCUGUGAUAGGAGAUAACUGAGGAUGGAUCAACAACAUCGUUACUCGGCAACAGUAACAUAAAUUACAGAGUGAAAAGAAGGAAGUCUGUACAGAAUAACAAAUAUUCCAAAACAUGCAUCCUGUUUGCACUAAAGUAAUACUGCAGAAAAUGUGGCAAAUACAUACACUUUUUGUCCUGAAUAAAAAGUGUUAUGUUUGGGCAAACCCAACACAUCACUGAGUACCACUCUUCAUAUUUUCAAGAAUGGUGGUAGCUGCGUCAUGUUAUGGGUUGGAAAGAACUAGGGAGGUUUUUUUUUGUUGAUAAAAGAAACGAAAUAGAGCUAAGCACAGGCAAAAUCCUUGAGGAAAACCUGGUUCAGUCUGCUUUCCAACAGACACUGGGAGACAAAUUAACAUUUCUACAGGACAAUAAUCUUAAACACAAGGUCAAAUAUGUACUGGAGUUGCUUACCAAGACGUCAUUGAAUGUUCCUGAGUGGCUUAGUUACAGUUUUGACUUAAAUCAUCAGCUUGAAAAUCUAUGGCAAGACUUGAAAAUCGCAGUCUAGCAGUGAUCAAUAACCAACUUGACAGAGCUUGACACAUUUUUUAAAGAAUAAUGGGCAAGUAUUGUACAAUCCAGGUGUACAAAUCUCUUAGAGGCUUUCCCAGAAAGACUCACAGCUGUAAUCCCUGCCCACGGUGAUUCUAACAUAAAUUGACUCAAGGAGUUUAAUACUUAUCUAAUCAAGAUAUGUUAGUGUUUUAUUUUCCAUUAAUACAAAAUAUAUAUACUUUUUCUUCCCCUGACAUAACAGGGUAUUUUGUGUAUAUCAUUGACCAAAAAAUGACAAUGAAAUCAAUUUGAAUUCCACUUUGUAACAAAACAAAAUGUGGAAAAAGUUGAGUGUGAAUACCAUCUGAAGGUACUGUAUAUACUGUAUAUAAUGUAAAUAUCUUUAAACAGGACAAAUCCGAGGGGAGCAUGUUCCCCUGUGACCCAUUUGGGCAUGACACCUCUGCUAUUUAUAUUUGUGUUAUUGUUAUAAUAAACAAUGGGAAAAUAAAUACACAAGAGCAAUAUUUCAGGUUAAGGUUCUUCUGUCCAUGAUAUGCCAUACAUGUUGAUGUUUCUAUGUUCAUUUUGAUGUUUUCUAUAAGCACUAGGGCUAGGCAACGGAAGAUGGAUCCUACAUGCAAUAGAUUAUUACAAAUUACAUACACUGGCGAUACUCUAUGCUGCUUUAGUGACGAUAUUCAAUGCAACAUUGUACAGAGAUUUUUUUUUGUCAAUAAAAUUUAAUAUUUCAAGAUG
Molecule: long non-coding RNA, 5400 nt
Organism: Oncorhynchus mykiss (rainbow trout)
Lineage: Eukaryota; Metazoa; Chordata; Actinopteri; Salmoniformes; Salmonidae
Source: RefSeq, a predicted model, not a curated record